CUGCGGCAGCGACACUCAGGUGUUGUUGGGUAGGGGAGCGUUCUGUAAGCCUGUGAAGGUGUGUCGUGAGGCAUGCUGGAGGUAUCAGAAGUGCGAAUGCUGACAUAAGUAACGAUAAAGCGGGUGAAAAGCCCGCUCGCCGGAAGACCAAGGGUUCCUGUCCAACGUUAAUCGGGGCAGGGUGAGUCGACCCCUAAGGCGAGGCCGAAAGGCGUAGUCGAUGGGAAACAGGUUAAUAUUCCUGUACUUGGUGUUACUGCGAAGGGGGGACGGAGAAGGCUAUGUUGGCCGGGCGACGGUUGUCCCGGUUUAAGCGUGUAGGUGUGUGUUCCAGGUAAAUCCGGUUCACUUUAACACUGAGGCGUGACGACGAGGCACUACGGUGCUGAAGCAACAAAUGCCCUGCUUCCAGGAAAAGCCUCUAAGCAUCAGGUAACAUCAAAUCGUACCCCAAACCGACACAGGUGGUCAGGUAGAGAAUACCAAGGCGCUUGAGAGAACUCGGGUGAAGGAACUAGGCAAAAUGGUGCCGUAACUUCGGGAGAAGGCACGCUGACACGUAGGUGAAGUGAUUUACUCAUGGAGCUGAAGUCAGUCGAAGAUACCAGCUGGCUGCAACUGUUUAUUAAAAACACAGCACUGUGCAAACACGAAAGUGGACGUAUACGGUGUGACGCCUGCCCGGUGCCGGAAGGUUAAUUGAUGGGGUCAGCGCAAGCGAAGCUCCUGAUCGAAGCCCCGGUAAACGGCGGCCGUAACUAUAACGGUCCUAAGGUAGCGAAAUUCCUUGUCGGGUAAGUUCCGACCUGCACGAAUGGCGUAAUGAUGGCCAGGCUGUCUCCACCCGAGACUCAGUGAAAUUGAACUCGCUGUGAAGAUGCAGUGUACCCGCGGCAAGACGGAAAGACCCCGUGAACCUUUACUAUAGCUUGACACUGAACAUUGAGCCUUGAUGUGUAG
Molecule: ribosomal RNA, 960 nt
Filed under: Salmonella enterica
Lineage: Bacteria; Pseudomonadati; Pseudomonadota; Gammaproteobacteria; Enterobacterales; Enterobacteriaceae
Also listed under: 1 other name
Description: partial 23S ribosomal RNA
Rfam family: Bacterial large subunit ribosomal RNA
Source: RNAcentral